GGGGAAUAUUGCACAAUGGGGGAAACCCUGAUGCAGCGACGCCGCGUGGAGGAAGAAGGUCUUCGGAUUGUAAACUCCUGUUGUUGGGGAAGAUAAUGACGGUACCCAACAAGGAAGUGACGGCUAACUACGUGCCAGCAGCCGCGGUAAAACGUAGGUCACAAGCGUUGUCCGGAAUUACUGGGUGUAAAGGGAGCGCAGGCGGGAAGACAAGUUGGAAGUGAAAUCUAUGGGCUCAACCCAUAAACUGCUUUCAAAACUGUUUUUCUUGAGUAGUGCAGAGGUAGAUGGAAUUCCCGGUGUAGCGGUGGAAUGCGUAGAUAUCGGGAGGAACACCAGUGGCGAAGGCGGUCUACUGGGCACCAACUGACGCUGAGGCUCGAAAGCAUGGGUAGCAAACAGGAUUAGAUACCCUGGUAGUCCAUGCCGUAAACGAUGAUUACUAGGUGUUGGGGGAUUGACCCCCUCAGUGCCGCAGUUAACACAAUAAGUAAUCCACCUGGGGAGUACGACCGCAAGGUUGAAACUCAAAGGAAUUGACGGGGGCCCGCACAAGCAGUGGAGUAUGUGGUUUAAUUCGAAGCAACGCGAAGAACCUUACCAGGUCUUGACAUCCGAUGCAUAGCACAGAGAUGUGUGAAAUCCUUCGGGACAUCGAGACAGGUGGUGCAUGGUUGUCGUCAGCUCGUGUCGUGAGAUGUUGGGUUAAGUCCCGCAACGAGCGCAACCCUUAUUGCCAGUUACUACGUUAAGAGGACUCUGGCGAGACUGCCGUUGACAAAACGGAGGAAGGUGGGGAUGACGUCAAAUCAUCAUGCCCUUUAUGACCUGGGCUACACACGUACUACAAUGGCGUUAAACAAAGAGAAGCAAGACCGCGAGGUGGAGCAAAACUCAAAAACAACGUCUCAGUUCAGAUUGCAGGCUGCAACUCGCCUGCAUGAAGUCGGAAUUGCUAGUAAUCGCGGAUCAGCAUGCCGCGGUGAAUACGUUCCCG
This 997-nucleotide ribosomal RNA is filed under the name uncultured organism. Its description in RNAcentral is "bacterial SSU rRNA". It matches the Rfam family "Bacterial small subunit ribosomal RNA", at positions 356 to 1376 of the family's 1533-position model. The record is from RNAcentral.